AGUGAACGCUGGCAGUAGGCCUAACACAUGCAAGUCGAACGGCAGCACAGUAAGAGCUUGCUCUUACGGGUGGCGAGUGGCGGACGGGUGAGGAAUACAUCGGAAUCUACUUUUUCGUGGGGGAUAACGUAGGGAAACUUACGCUAAUACCGCAUACGACCUACGGGUGAAAGCAGGGGAUCUUCGGACCUUGCGCGAUUGAAUGAGCCGAUGUCGGAUUAGCUAGUUGGCGGGGUAAAGGCCCACCAAGGCGACGAUCCGUAGCUGGUCUGAGAGGAUGAUCAGCCACACUGGAACUGAGACACGGUCCAGACCCCUACGGGAGGCAGCAGUGGGGAAUAUUGGACAAUGGGCGCAAGCCUGAUCCAGCCAUACCGCGUGGGUGAAGAAGGCCUUCGGGUUGUAAAGCCCUUUUGUUGGGAAAGAAAAGCAGCAGGUUAAUACCCCGCUGUUCUGACGGUACCCAAAGAAUAAGCACCGGCUAACUUCGUG
RNAcentral lists this ribosomal RNA (492 nucleotides) under uncultured bacterium. RNAcentral describes it as "partial 16S ribosomal RNA". It matches the Rfam family "Bacterial small subunit ribosomal RNA", at positions 29 to 507 of the family's 1533-position model. The record is from RNAcentral.